UACGUAGGGUGCGAGCGUUAUUCGGAAUUACUGGGCGUAAAGGGCGCGUAGGCGGUCUCGUAAGUCCCUUGUGAAAUCCCCCGGCUCAACUGGGGAACUGCAAGGGAUACAGCGGGGCUUGAGUUCGGGAGAGGGAAGCGGAAUUCCGGGUGUAGCGGUGAAAUGCGUAGAUAUCUGGAGGAAUACCAGUGGCGAAGGCGGCAGCCUGGACCGGCAUUGACGCUGAGGAGCGAAAGCCAGGGGAGCAAACGGG
RNAcentral lists this ribosomal RNA (253 nucleotides) under uncultured bacterium. RNAcentral describes it as "partial 16S ribosomal RNA". It matches the Rfam family "Bacterial small subunit ribosomal RNA", at positions 524 to 776 of the family's 1533-position model. The record is from RNAcentral.